RNAcentral lists this ribosomal RNA (378 nucleotides) under uncultured bacterium. RNAcentral describes it as "bacterial SSU rRNA". It matches the Rfam family "Bacterial small subunit ribosomal RNA", at positions 523 to 898 of the family's 1533-position model. The record is from RNAcentral.
AUACGUAGGGCGCGAGCGUUGUCCGGAUUUAUUGGGCGUAAAGAGCUCGUAGGCGGUUUGUCGCGUCUGCUGUGAAAUCCUCUGGCUUAACUGGGGGCGUGCAGUGGGUACGGGCAGACUGGAGUGCGGUAGGGGAGACUGGAAUUCCUGGUGUAGCGGUGGAAUGCGCAGAUAUCAGGAGGAACACCGGUGGCGAAGGCGGGUCUCUGGGCCGUUACUGACGCUGAGGAGCGAAAGCAUGGGGAGCGAACAGGAUUAGAUACCCUGGUAGUCCAUGCCGUAAACGUUGGGAACUAGGUAUGGGGUCCAUUCCACGGGUCCUGUGCCGUAGCUAACGCAUUAAGUUCCCCGCCUGGGGAGUACGGCCGCAUGGCUAAA